CUCUUUUCACAGACCGAAAAAAAGAGUGAAAAAAGAGGUACAAGAUCAUUUUUGCUACGAUUUUGGGAGCAUUUUUUUUGCAAGGGGAUCAGUGCAUUUUGGCAGAGAUAAAAUGGUGUUGACAUAUCUGCUCAAGUACCAAAGCCAAGCUAUUUCUACGAGCUAUUUCUUGGACAUUCUGCAGUAAGCUAUUCUCUGUCUUUAUGUAAGGAAGUUAAACGGACGCCACCUCUGUUGCUUGGUGACAAAGUUUAGAUCCAAACGGAUUUAGUUCUGCUCGAUCAGGGUUUGCAGUGCAGGGUUUGAUCAAGACAACUUCUUCAGUUUUUCUGUUCAUGAUACAAAGUACACAGACACACUCUCUCUUCCCAUGUCACGGUGACUAUGUGCAGUUCAGUGGGUCAGCACUGGAGAACUGAAUGUACACUUGUUUUCCGGCAAAGAUGCAGACGACCCUCCGCGAAAACAGAAAUACAAGCCCACCUAUGUCAACUAUGAGUCAGUAAACAGUCAACAGAACCCACACAGUAAGGGGGUGGGGGAAACACUGAAUCCAGGGACAGAAGUACACUGUCCUGCCCCCUCUAUAAGCACUGCUCUUCAUCUUAGUCACACAGUAUACACAAGCUCUCGUCCAGAGCAAUCUACAGUCAGGGUAUACAAGCGGGUCACGCAACAUACUGGUUAGGUAGGCCAGUGGUGUCAAACUCUGGGCCUCAAGGUUCAGUGUCUGAUGCUUAUUUUUGCAGCUCUAUGGAACUCAACUGAUCAAUUCAUGUAUUUGAUUGGCUAGAGUUUUCCAGAUCUAUACCAGUCUCAGAUUAAAAGUUAACUCCAAACAGAGGUCUGGUAAAUUGAAAUGGUUGCAGUAUAUAGGCCAGGGGUGUCAAACUCAAGUCCUCCAGAGCCU
RNAcentral lists this long non-coding RNA (910 nucleotides) under Salmo salar (Atlantic salmon). RNAcentral describes it as "lncRNA (ENSSSAG00000082727.1)". Lineage: Eukaryota; Metazoa; Chordata; Actinopteri; Salmoniformes; Salmonidae. The record is from RNAcentral.